This 643-nucleotide ribosomal RNA is filed under the name Bacillus safensis. RNAcentral describes it as "bacterial SSU rRNA". It matches the Rfam family "Bacterial small subunit ribosomal RNA", at positions 732 to 1375 of the family's 1533-position model. The record is from RNAcentral. Lineage: Bacteria; Bacillati; Bacillota; Bacilli; Caryophanales; Bacillaceae.
GUCUGUAACUGACGCUGAGGAGCGAAAGCGUGGGGAGCGAACAGGAUUAUAUACCCUGGUAGUCCACGCCGUAAACGAUGAGUGCUAAGUGUUAGGGGGUUUCCGCCCCUUAGUGCUGCAGCUAACGCAUUAAGCACUCCGCCUGGGGAGUACGGUCGCAAGACUGAAACUCAAAGGAAUUGACGGGGGCCCGCACAAGCGGUGGAGCAUGUGGUUUAAUUCGAAGCAACGCGAAGAACCUUACCAGGUCUUGACAUCCUCUGACAACCCUAGAGAUAGGGCUUUCCCUUCGGGGACAGAGUGACAGGUGGUGCAUGGUUGUCGUCAGCUCGUGUCGUGAGAUGUUGGGUUAAGUCCCGCAACGAGCGCAACCCUUGAUCUUAGUUGCCAGCAUUCAGUUGGGCACUCUAAGGUGACUGCCGGUGACAAACCGGAGGAAGGUGGGGAUGACGUCAAAUCAUCAUGCCCCUUAUGACCUGGGCUACACACGUGCUACAAUGGACAGAACAAAGGGCUGCAAGACCGCAAGGUUUAGCCAAUCCCAUAAAUCUGUUCUCAGUUCGGAUCGCAGUCUGCAACUCGACUGCGUGAAGCUGGAAUCGCUAGUAAUCGCGGAUCAGCAUGCCGCGGUGAAUACGUUCCC